GGUAGGAAGAAGAUUCUAAGGCCAACGGGAGAAGGGUUGUUAAGGAACUCGGCAAAUUGACCCCGUAACUUCGGGAGAAGGGGUGCUCCAGAGAUGGAGCCGCAGAGAAUCGGCCCAAGCAACUGUUUACCAAAAACACAGGUUUGUGCUAAAUCGAAAGAUGACGUAUACGAGCUGACGCCUGCCCGGUGCUGGAAGGUUAAGAGGAGAUGUGCAAGCAUUGAAUCGAAGCCCCAGUGAACGGCGGCCGUAACUAUAACGGUCCUAAGGUAGCGAAAUUCCUUGUCAGGUAAGUUCUGACCCGCACGAAAGGCGUAAUGAUUUGGGCACUGUCUCAACAGCCCGCCCGGCGAAAUUGUAGUACCGGUGAAGAUGCCGGUUACCCGCGACAAGACGGAAAGACCCCAUGGAGCUUUACUGUAGCCUAAUAUUGGGUUUCGAUGUUGCAUGCACAGGAUAGAUGGGACACUGGGAAACAAUCGCUUUGGCGGUUGCGGAGUGGCCGUUGGGAUACCAUCCUUGCGAUAUUGGAAUUCUAACCUGCGGCUCUGAAUCGAGUCGGGGGACAUUGUUAGGUGGGCAGUUUGACUGGGGCGGUCGCCUCCUAAAAAGUAACGGAGGCGUUCAAAGGUUCGCUCAGCUUGAACGGAAAUCAAGCAAAAGAGUGCAAACGCAGAAGCGAGCCUAACUGCGAGACUGACGGGUCGAGCAGUAACGAAAGUUGGAGUUAGUGAUCCGGUGGUAUGUGAGUGGAAAUGCCAUCGCUCAACGGAUAAAAGCUACCCUGGGGAUAACAGGCUGAUCUCCCCCAAGAGUCCACAUCGACGGGGAGGUUUGGCACCUCGAUGUCGGCUCAUCGCAUCCUGGGGCUGUAUUCGGUCCCAAGGGUUUGGCUGUUCGCCAAUUAAAGCGGUACGCGAGCUGGGUUCAGAACGUCGUGAGACAGUUCGGUCCCUAUCUGUCGUGGGCGCAGGAUAUUUGAUGGGAGCUGUCCCUAGUACGAGAGGACCGGGACGGACGUACCUCUGGCGCACCAGUUGUUCCGCCAGGAGCAUAGCUGGGCAACUACGUACGGAUCGGAUAAACGCUGAAAGCAUCUAAGCGUGAAGCCGACCCAAAGAUAAGAUAUCCCACUGAUUUGAUCAGGUAAGACCCCUUGAAGACUACAAGGUCGAUAGGCACGAUGUGUAAGUGGAGCGAUCCAUUCAGCAAGCGUGUACUAAUAGGUCGAGGGCUUGACCAC
This 1243-nucleotide ribosomal RNA is filed under the name human gut metagenome. RNAcentral describes it as "bacterial LSU rRNA". It matches the Rfam family "Bacterial large subunit ribosomal RNA", at positions 1666 to 2925 of the family's 2925-position model. The record is from RNAcentral.